ACGGGUGAGUAACGCGUAGGAACGUAUCCAGAGGUGGGGGACAACCCCGGGAAACUGGGGCUAAUACCGCAUAUGGGCUGAGGCCCAAAGCAGUGAUGCGCCUUUGGAGCGGCCUGCGUCCGAUUAGGUAGUUGGUGGGGUAAUGGCCUACCAAGCCUGCGAUCGGUAGCUGGUCUGAGAGGAUGAUCAGCCACACUGGGACUGAGACACGGCCCAGACUCCUACGGGAGGCAGCAGUGGGGAAUAUUGGACAAUGGGCGCAAGCCUGAUCCAGCAAUGCCGCGUGUGUGAAGAAGGUCUUCGGAUCGUAAAGCACUUUCGACAGAGACGAUGAUGACGGUACCUGUAGAAGAAGCCCCGGCUAACUUCGUGCCAGCAGCCGCGGUAAUACGAAGGGGGCUAGCGUUACUCGGAAUUACUGGGCGUAAAGGGCGCGUAGGCGGCUUGGCCAGUCAGGCGUGAAAUUCCUGGGCUUAACCUGGGGACUGCGCUUGAUACUGCUGGGCUUGAGGCCGAGAGAGGGUGGUGGAAUUCCCAGUGUAGAGGUGAAAUUCGUAGA
Molecule: ribosomal RNA, 559 nt
Filed under: uncultured bacterium
Lineage: Bacteria
Description: bacterial SSU rRNA
Rfam family: Bacterial small subunit ribosomal RNA
Source: RNAcentral